AACGAACGCUGGCGGCAGGCUUAACACAUGCAAGUCGAGCGCAUCCUUCGGGGUGAGCGGCGGACGGGUGAGUAACGCGUGGGAACGUGCCCUCUUCUACGGAAUAGCCUCGGGAAACUGAGAGUAAUGCGGUAUACGCCCGCAAGGGGAAAGAUUUAUCGAAGGAGGAUAGGCCCGCGUUGGAUUCGGUAGUUGGUGGGGUAACGGACUACUAAGCCGACGAUCCAUAGCUGGUUUUAGGGGAAGGUCAUCCACACUGGCAGUGAGACACCGCCGAGACUCCUACGGGAUGCAGCAGUGGGGAAUCUUGGACAAUGGGGGCAACCCUGAUCCAGCCAGGCCGCGUGAUCGAUGAAGGCCUUAGGGUUGUAAAGAUCUUUCAGCUGUGAAGAUAAUGACGGUACCAGCAGAAGAAGCCCCGGCUAACUCCGUG
Molecule: ribosomal RNA, 433 nt
Filed under: uncultured bacterium
Lineage: Bacteria
Description: partial 16S ribosomal RNA
Rfam family: Bacterial small subunit ribosomal RNA
Source: RNAcentral